ACUAUGUGUUGUUGGGUAGGGGAGCGUUCUGUAAGCCUGUGAAGGUGUGUCGUGAGGCAUGCUGGAGGUAUCAGAAGUGCGAAUGCUGACAUAAGUAACGAUAAAGCGGGUGAAAAGCCCGCUCGCCGGAAGACCAAGGGUUCCUGUCCAACGUUAAUCGGGGCAGGGUGAGUCGACCCCUAAGGCGAGGCCGAAAGGCGUAGUCGAUGGGAAACGGGUUAAUAUUCCCGUACUUGGUGUUACUGCGAAGGGGGGACGGAGAAGGCUAUGUUGGCCGGGCGACGGUUGUCCCGGUUUAAGCGUGUAGGUGUGUGUUCCAGGUAAAUCCGGUUCACUUUAACACUGAGGCGUGAUGACGAGGCACUACGGUGCUGAAGCAACAAAUGCCCUGCUUCCAGGAAAAGCCUCUAAGCAUCAGGUA
This 421-nucleotide ribosomal RNA is filed under the name Salmonella enterica subsp. enterica serovar Mikawasima. Its description in RNAcentral is "partial 23S ribosomal RNA". It matches the Rfam family "Bacterial large subunit ribosomal RNA", at positions 1213 to 1633 of the family's 2925-position model. Lineage: Bacteria; Pseudomonadati; Pseudomonadota; Gammaproteobacteria; Enterobacterales; Enterobacteriaceae. The record is from RNAcentral.